CCUACGGGAGGCACCAGUGGGGAAUAUUGCACAAUGGGCGCAAGCCUGAUGCAGCCAUGCCGCGUGUAUGAAGAAGGCCUUCGGGUUGUAAAGUACUUUCAGUCGGGAGGAAGGUGGUGAGCUUAAUACGCUCAUCAAUUGACGUUACCGACGGAAGAAGCACCGGCUAACUCCGUGCCAGCAGCCGCGGUAAUACGGAGGGUGCAAGCGUUAAUCGGAAUUACUGGGCGUAAAGCGCACGCAGGCGGUUGAUUGAGUCAGAUGUGAAAUCCCCGGGCUUAACCCGGGAAUUGCAUCUGAUACUGGUCAGCUAGAGUCUUGUAGAGGGGGGUAGAAUUCCAUGUGUAGCGGUGAAAUGCGUAGAGAUGUGGAGGAAUACCGGUGGCGAAGGCGGCCCCCUGGACAAAGUCUGACGCUCAGGUGCGAAAGCGUGGGGAGCAAACAGGAUUAGAUACCCGGGUAGUC
Molecule: ribosomal RNA, 465 nt
Filed under: uncultured bacterium
Lineage: Bacteria
Description: bacterial SSU rRNA
Rfam family: Bacterial small subunit ribosomal RNA
Source: RNAcentral